CGGACGGGUGAGUAAUGUCUGGGAAACUGCCUGAUGGAGGGGGAUAACUACUGGAAACGGUAGCUAAUACCGCAUAACGUCGCAAGACCAAAGAGGGGGACCUUCGGGUCUCUUGCCAUCGGAUGUGCCCAGAUGGGAUUAGCUAGUAGGUGGGGUAAAGGCUCACCUAGGCGACGAUCCCUAGCUGGUCUGAGAGGAUGACCAGCCACACUGGAACUGAGACACGGUCCAG
RNAcentral lists this ribosomal RNA (232 nucleotides) under uncultured bacterium. RNAcentral's name for it is "partial 16S ribosomal RNA". It matches the Rfam family "Bacterial small subunit ribosomal RNA", at positions 99 to 334 of the family's 1533-position model. The record is from RNAcentral.